UUUUUUUUUUUUUGUAUAAAGUGUGGGAAACGCUAAUUUUUAUGGAAUAAGCUAACAAAGUUCGGUACAUCAACUAUUGUACUUGAGAAUAAAAAAAAUUUAAUUAGUUGUACUAUGACAUUUGGUGCACAAGCCGUGUACCUGAUACAUUGAAUAUAAUUCGAAAAAAACAAAAGCAGCAAAUCCAAGAAAAUAAAAAUAUGUAUUUUUAGAUUAAACAAAUGAAUUCGCAAAUUUCAAUAUAUACUAAAACUGAAAAUCAACUGAAAUACUGUUCAUAAACAUAGUGUAGUUCCGAUUUUACCCUUGCUUAGUUUGUGUUAUUACAAGGUUGCCAUUCUUUCUACUGAGUUCUUAGGUGUCGUUCUUUCUCUUCGACAUCACAGUGAUAAAACACUCUAGCAAGUCCAACCGGCUGCAGACUCCAUCAAACCCUAGAAAUCAUUUUGCUUUUUUGGGCAUCCUCCUUUUUCUCCCUGCUCCUUGCUUUCCCCAACCUAGAAUCCUCAUCCUUUCCCCGAAUGAGAAAUCUGAAAUCCAUAACCCAAAACUCACUCAUAGUAGCCUCUGCCUUGCCUCAUUCCUCAUAUCCUGAUGAUUCAUUCUCUCCAUUCGAUUCGAUUUCGGUGACUUCUUUGUGUUAUAAAUUCUCAUAUUUUGCGUAUAAUUUUGGUUUUUGGAAUUUCGAAUUUGUACUGACUUUGCUCUAAUUAACUUUAAUUUUGUCUGUUAUUGUUGGGUUUGAGUAAAUUUCGAACCUUUUGUUUUCGUUCUUGAAAUUUUUGAGUUUUAUCUGUUAAAUAUUUGUUAAAAGACUCGAAUUAUCUGUUCGAACAAUGUGUAUAGCCUAUGAAAAUUGAACAAAAAGUCAUAUGAUCCAUGAUUUCUUCCUUCCUGGUCGACUAGAAAACCUUCUGGAGCUUCAUGGUGGUCGCACAUCUCCUCCUCUAUGCUCCUCCUCCAAAACUGUGAAGAUUUAUUUACAGUUAUGUAUUUAUGAUUCGAUAAUUGCAUGUUAAAAUAAUGUUUGGAAUUUGUGAUUUAAUGUAAUUGGGCUUUAGAAAUAUUUUCUUGAUUAUGUCGAAGGUUUCAUAAUCGUGAUGUUGAAAGAAAGAGAGCAAGAACCACAUUUGUCACAGCCCGUCCCGGAAUUUUAAUUCCGAGGACGUGAAAAGACCAAAAUGCCCUUAAGCGGGACUAAGGGGCGAAAAUUUAACAAUUGGAUUUACAUUAGUAUGUUUAAAGUUGUGUUUGGGAUUUAAGUAGGGCCUCCUACCCUGAUUCCCUCCCCAUUUCCCGUAUGUACUCUCUCUCUUCCUCAGACCUCACUUUCUCUCUCCCUCUCCUUCGAACUCACACGGACCACCACAAAACCACCCUAAAUCUAUACCAACGUCAAGUUUGAGACCACCAUUGGAAUCCUAAGGACUUCACGAUCACGUUGGUAUCCAUUUCAGGUAAGUUUUGCUUCGGAAAACCCCUAGUUUCCAAGUUCCCGUGAAGAGCACUGUUCAUGAUCUUCGAAUUGGCUUUGUUUUAGGUGAAACCAAGCCCACAGUGAGCUUAAGGAAGUCCCAAGGAAGCUCGGAGUGCUUCGUUGGAAGUUUUUGGACGUAAGAACACGGAGAUCGACAAGUUCAAAGUUUGGCCGGAACUUUCGAGGCUCUUUCCGGCGAAUCCCCGGCGAGUUAGGAGUUGAGGUAGGUAUCAAUCUCUUCGUCUCGUCAAGUACUACAACUUUUCCUUUUUGUUUCACUCAAUUUCGUUGAGUAUUGAAGAAGUUAUACUCAUUUGAAACUUACCCAGUUUCCGGCGACCUCCGAGGCUUUCGAGGCAGUUUCCGGCCAAACCACGGCGAACUAGGUGUUGUGCAAGGUACCAUUCUCUUUGUCUCUUCAAGGGCUACAACUUUUGUUUUUGAAUCACUUGAUUUCGUUGAGAAAUGACAAAGUUAUGGCAAUUUGAAAAACUGCCCAGAAAACGGCCGCCGGAAAAACCAGUCCGGCGACCCAAGGAAGAAGAAGGUGCGCGUGGGGGCGCGUGGACCCGUGCCUUCCUUGGCGCGUGGGGGCGCGUGCUACAGUAAAAAAUUAUUUUAAAAAUAUGUCGACGUCCGUGACGUCGAGUAGAUCACUGUGGUAUAUUCAUAUACCCAAAUUGAACACCGUAUGAGAAAGUUAUUGAGGAUUGUUGGUUAGGUGUUCGAAUAACGUUUUAUAGUUUUCACAUUUAGGUAAAAAUGUGAAUUGACGAUCCGACCGUUGGAUGGUAAUGAAAUUUUAGGAUGUUUGUCCUAGAGAUAUAUUUGUGGACCUCUGGAAGUUAUGGAUUUAAAAUCUGAGUGUGGCAGAUUCUUCCGGAUCGAACUACGUAGUGACGUAUUUUAUAUAUAAGUUAUAUAUUCUAUCGAUAUGAAUUCUGAGGUUGGAUUUGAUUACUGUUCUAGGCGGCGAUCGUCAUGACGCCUUGAUGUGUGGUGCUAGGGAGUUGUUGGACGAACUCCAGGUGAGUGGGCAGUUUUGUUUUCCGUAUAUAUAUAUACUUGACGUUUCCCAGAAAUUGAAUUGAAAUGAAAAAUAUGUUUUAAAAUGAAAUGCAUAUGAGUUAUGUGAAAAAACGGGAAGUGAAAUACCAUGCAUAGAAUUGAUAUGAAAAGUAUAUAGAAAUGUGAGUUGAAAUGCCAUGCAUGAAUUGAUAUAUGAUGCAUAUGUAUGAAUUGGUGCGGUGGACGCACAGGUAAGAAUUGAUUUAUGAUGCAUAUAUAUGAAUUGGUGCGGUGGACGCACAGGUAAGAAUUGAUUUAUGAUGCAUAUGUAUGAAAUGGUGCGGUGAACGCACAGGUGAGUAUUUAUUUCUGUUAUGAUGAUGUUGAUGUAUAUUGAGCUCAAAUCCUGCACCAUAGUUUAGUGCUUAUAGUAUUCACCGCAUCGCACGCUCGCCUUGGAUCCAAGUAGAUGCUAGUCGUACAGUCCACGCGGAGUGGGUACGACAGGCAGUCGCGAGAGUGUUAGUGAGAUUCCGACUGGUGGGUGACCUUAGAUUAUGUGCACAGAUGAUUUAUGAGAAAGCACUAGAGCGUAACUUAUGUGCAGAAGGCCGUACAGGUCACGCGGAGUGACUCCGGCAGAGUGUGAGAGUUAUAGAUUUUUGAGCUCUAGGUUCAACCGGGCUAAUAGAGGGCCUCCGGUUGAUUACUUUAUUGCACCCUGAUAUGAUUUAUGUUGAUGCAUUCAUACCUUAUUACUGUUUGAGAUGAUGUGGCAUGACAUAAUUAAUAUGAGAAAUGUUGAGAUGAUGUGGCAUGGCAUAAUUAUGAUGAAAAUGUUGAGUUAAUGAAUUGAAGUAUUGAGAAUAUAUAUAUGUAUAUUUAUAUUUUAUAUUUCUGGGAAAGUAUACAGGUUUUACGGAGAGGGGUUACAACGUUUUGAGAAAUGUUUGGAUUUGGAAAAGAAUUGUUUUACUGACCCACUCAAUUUUGGUUUUGCGCCCCUCCAGGUUCAGGAAUCACAAAGGUGUGGUGACUACGAGGAAUUUGACGGUGUUUUGACAGAUUGGACAAAAUUAGGACUCACCUUCGGGUGUAUCAACUUAUAAAUUGUAUCUUAAAGCUUCCGUACUGUGCAAAUGGUUACGUCACUCUCACGUGACGGCCAGCAUGCCCUCCUUCGGGACGAGGUGUGUCAACAUUCACAUAGUAUAUUCACUAUAGGUGUAGAAGCUCAGUUCUCCCGUUUUUUGGCCAAUUCCAAAGGCGCUGAAUUGCUUAAUUUUCUUUUAAAAAAAUUUCAACUUCAAAUAUAUAUAUAUAUAUAUAUAUAUAUAUAUAUAAUUUUUUUUUUCGGUUUUCUGAUUUCUGGUUGUGUUUCAGGGCAUAAUAGUGGGAGUUGAGUAAUGGAGUUGCUGCCAUGCAAUGGAGUAUAGCAGGAGGCAGAUGACCUUUCACUCCAUCUCAAUGGAUGGAGUUAGAACACCAGGUCUUGAUCUACAAAUACAUCCCAAUGUGCCUAUUUCGUCCACUAUGUUCAUCGCAAUCAAGAAGGCCAUUAAUUCUGCAUGAUUUUUUACAUGUUCAAACGGAAUUCCCAGGCCCAAUUCAUGUAAUUUCUUCAUUUUACUCAAAGGAAAAUGAUUUCCACACACUUCUUUUUUUUUUCCUUUUUCUUAAGCACGUUUUUGCUUAUUUUGUUGCUUGAUUUUUGCUUGAUUUUAUUUAAUUUAAAAGCUAGAAAUAAAUCUAAAAUUUUCAUGCCUUCAUUCUAUGUAUUUUUCGAUUUUCGUGGGGUAUGUGCAGUGGGAUGAUUCUCCAACACCACUGAUCCUGAGCAGAACAUGUUCACUGUGAAUUACAAGGAUUUCUUAGGUAAUGUAUAGAUUAGGGAUACACUUGAACCUAGAUAAGCAUGAAAAGCAUACGGUUUUGCUUGACCCAUCCAAUCACAAAAUUGUGUACCAUCAAUUCAAACGUUAUAGAACCAGUUUAAUGAAGCUGUAGUUGGUUGUGUGCGUUUGUGUUCAGUGGGAGAAAUUUGUUAUUGAGAGGGUAAGCCAGGCAAAAACAGAUUGAUAGUGUUGAAGAAUGGGGUAACAAUUUAAUUAUGUGUACAAUGAAGAAUCACAUAUGUUAUUCUUAAAAUGGGUCUGCACAAAUUUUGCAUAAUAUGAAGUCACAGUAUAUAAAUGGUGUUUAUACCAUAUUUAGGGCCUCCGUAUUUAGACCUCGUAUAAAUACUUAGAGGACUCAAAUGUAAUUAUGCAAUAAGUGAAGGGGCAAAUAUGUAAUAAGUGAGAAGCCCUUAUUCUAUAAAAGGGACUCCUCACUCUCUUCACAGGGAGAGCCAAUUUGAGGCGAAGGUUGAGGCUAGAGAGAUCCAUCAAAAUAGGCGCCUCCAGAAAUAUAUUAACAUCAGUGUGGACGUAACCCAAACAUUGGGGUGAACCACGAUACAUCUUGUGUUAUUUACUUUCUUGUAGAUUCACGAUCGGAUUUCUGUUGUACCAAAGUCCUCACUGAUUUUGUGCAUCAAUAUUUAGCGCCGUCUGUGGGAAUCGACACGAAAAGUUACGUCGGUUCUCUUCCAAUCUUUCAUCACACCACCGUGAAACCUUCACAAUCUUCCCCGUGUAUCUGCAAAAAGAACCCAGAAAAAACCCAUCAAACCAUCAUCUCAUUUUCAUCAGAUCUCUGCGUCUCUCUGUGAGUGCACCGACACUCUCCCGUUUUCCUAACAAAAAUCACAACUCUCCAUCAGAUCACUCUCUCUAUCUCUUUGAGAUACAAAAAAAAAAAAAAAAAAAAAAAAAAAAAGCCAAUCCCAUCUCUUCUUCUCUCUAGAAACCCAGAAAUGGGUUAGAAGGAAAACCCAGUUUAACGUCAGCUUCUCUCAUCUCUUCAUCGCUCUGCUGCACGGUCUCAGUUUCUCCCUCCGUCUCUCUUAGACGUUCCCUCCACCUCCGAGCUUGCUGACUCGUUAACCCGGCCCAACUCGCCCGAUGAUCCGGAUCUGACACCUCUCCAGCUUCAACACCCAUCACGCCUCAACAGAUCCAAACCAAAAGAUUCAGGCUUUAGCAGCUGCGAGCCCAUACAUAUACCCAGGCCCGCACCCACCUCCCAGAGCCCACUAACAAGGACCAUCAUCUCCGUCCUCUCUCGGAUUCGCCACCACAAACCCCACACCUGUUUUCCUCGUCAUCUUCUCCACACCAUCUCCUCUCCAAGAUCCGCGCUCCAACUCUCUACCGUAAACACCUGUUCCAUGACGUUCUGGGUGGCGCUCACGAGCUUGGUGGCGAGGCACGAUCAACUGUUUUUUUCAACUCGAAGUUCCUGGAUGUGAUGCAGGAGAUGAUCAUGAAAGAGAUAGGAUGCUUGUUAGGGAUGUCCCAUGGCACAUGUUUGUGUCUACCGUGAAGAGGCUGCACUUUUUCAACCAGAACCCAUUUCAAAGUGAAGGAAACUUGUCCAACUGCAAGCUAAGGAACACCAUGAAGAACGAAAGCCUUUGAGACGGGUGUUCGAUAUUCUUUCUCUUUAAAUGAUGGGGCAACAGUUUGAGAAUUGAAUGAGAAGAUGGAGAUUUCACGUUGGAAGCUUUGCUGACCACCGGAGCUUCUCUCUCUCUCCACCCACUCUCCAGCUUCUUCUUCCAAUUUCGAGAAAUAUUCUCUCCAAAACCCUCUUCUCUUAUGCAUCACAAUCUUCAAAACUAAAUUGGGUUUUAAUCAAAAUCCAAUCUUUGAGAUCAUAUUUUUGCGGGUUUUGAUUUGAAUUGAUAGAUAGGUAGAUGAUGGUAUUGCAGGUGUUCUUCACACUGGCAUUCUCUGCAGUGCCUCUCACUCUCUACGUGUCUUAAAUCAGAAGCCUAAACCCAUUCGUGGAGACCAUGGAGGAACUCUUCUCCGAAUCAAGAGCUUACACCAUUAGGGUGUACCCACGUGUCCGACAUCUUUGGUUUAGGAUCUUGGAUUGAUUGCUUUGCAGCAGAACCACAAGACCCACAGAUGGCGCGGCUUUGGAAAGCCUCUGGAAGAAGGUAGCCAUUUUUCAGUGAGGAAAGCGGUGGCUGAAUCGUUGAGGGCGGCGGCUCGCUGCGUUGCUGCACCGACAAUGGCUCCGGACUAAGAGAGUUUGGUGGCUUCGAGAUGAGGGAGACUGAAAAGGACACUGCAAACGAUGGAGAAGCAGAAAACGACACUGAGCCCGGAGAUCUUGGCUAACUAAACCUUUGACUUCAAGCUCUGCAAUGGGCCACCUUCAUCACAGCUAUGGCGACGUAGCUGAGCACCGAACAAACCGUCAUGUGGCAGAGCGUCAGAAAGAUCGGAAACCGGAAGCCGCAGUUCGUGAGCAGGUACUUGUUCAGAAGCAGGAUACCGAUGUUGAAGCCGUACUAGGCGGCGACCAUCCCGACCGUCGUCCAUUGGAUCGCCGCCAACAUCGAUUUUUGCAGUUGGUGAUGUAAGCCAGGUGGUGCUUCUGGUGGUGGAUCUGCGAGAUCUCGCCGCUGAUUGCAGGCGCCAUAGUCAUAGGGAGGUCGGGGAGCGAGAAGAUCUGUGGGCCGUGAGAAUGAGCGAGGAUUAUGGGCUCGCUCUGAAGACCUGGUCGGGCUUUGCUGGCUACAAGAGCUCGGAGAGCCCUAAAAAUAUGUGCUGGUCUGCUGGGUUUUCUCCGACGGGUAUGUUCUCUUUGUUCUUCAACUCCUCCCAGCGACUAUUCUAGCUCUGGCCACCGUGCUCUUUCUCGAGGACUGCAAGGCCCUGGCUUACUUGAUCACCCGCUCCAUGAAAAACACUGACUGCAAAAAGUAACAAAAAUGGGUUAGGUUUGCUGCUGCUAAGUACUUCACUUUCUUGUUCUCCUCCUCCUCCCACUAUCUGUCUGAGUCGGAAUCGGACCCACAGUCACAACUCACUCCCUAUUUCAAUCUCUCACUGGGCAAUUUUAGAACCCUUUUCUAUCAAAAAUCUCAGAAAGUUCGAAGAUUUAUAUCACUCUCAAAACUUCAUCGUCGGAAUUUCAUAGCUGUCGAGGCAGAGGAUGGAGGGUUUUCGCAUUUUCCUGGAAACGGCUGCCUUUUCUCGCCUAAAUGUGUCAGUUUUCAGCCGCCAGCAGCCGCAGAUUUCAUGCAUUAACGGCGAUGAUUACAAUAAUGGGCCGGCACUAAACUACCCAUCAAGUGAUCACGGAUUUAGCGGCGGAAAUCGAUGCCUUUUUGCGGCGGUGAGUCGUUGCAGAGUCGACUGAACUCACAGAAAGGCGGAGGUGGGGAUUUAGGCCUGUUGUCAGCUGAUUUGCUCGGAAAUAUCGCUGUUUUGGCCAAGCAACAACACGGCUGUCGAUUUAUGCAGAAAACAAUGGAGGAUGCACCGAAUAAGGGUGUGAUUGAUUUAAUAUUCUUGGAUGCACUUUUUCUCCUCGUCCUCCGACCCCUCAGAGCAGGACUCAGGGUAGCUACGUCAACCCGUGGCGGCGCUAUAGCGUCCCACUUCCUCCUCAUCCACAUCAACAACAUGUCCCGAUCUCGUCCCUCUGCCUCCAGCUGGCUCGCGAAGGCUCCAGCUCUGAUGCCAUCCUCACUGUCUAUUUCACUGGAAAGACUUUGGAGGAGCACUAUGUUUCCAAGCUACAGUUUAUCUGGCCUCAGGUUUCAUGCAUGUUUGGAUUUCCUGCUAGGGGAAGCACCGACCAAUGAUCAAACUCCGAUGAGUGUCAGGCUAAAGCAAAAGAGAAAAGCAAAAGUAAGAAAAAGAAAAAGGAUAAAGAAAACUCUUGACCAAGUAGAAGAUAAGCUGUCAUACGACAAUUCCAUUAUGAUUUCGCUUUGGCAUUGCCUGCCACCUGCCAAAAGAGAAAAGAGAAAGAAAUGGAGUGGCGAAAGCAAAAGCAAGGCAGACUGCUUUAUUUAUUUUUUGAAUGAUGUAAUUUAUUUUCAUUAUCUUUCGGAUAUAUCUGUAUAAACCUCAUCAGAGGGUAAUAUGUAUAAACCCCAUCAGAGGGUUAAAAAAAAAAAAAAAGGGCAAAGCCCAAAACAAAUGGGCUGGCAUGUUGUGGAGGGCGAAGGCCCAUAAGCCCGAAAUAGCACCAAUCAGGUCAUCAAAAGUACGGUCAGUACUCCACAAUUAUUUGGCAACCUGCUGUUAUUACCACCAACCAGGUGAUCAAAAGUACGCCCAGUACUCCACAAUUAUUUGGCAACCUGCUGCUAUUACCACCAACCAGGUGAUCAAAAGUACGCCCAGUACUCCAUAAUUAUUCGGCAACCUGCCGCUAUUACCACCAACCAGGUGAUGAAAUGUACAACCCGUACUAUAAUAUCAAUUGCCAACUAGCCAUUCAUGCCACCAACUAGGUGAUGAAAUGUACAACCCGUAAUCUUUUUCAUGCCGGUGAUCAAAAGUAUGCCCAAUACUCCAAAUUAUACAUGAGCAUUACUCAUGUCAUUUAUACAUAAACAUUCAUGAGCAUCACUCAUGACAAUCAUACAUAAACGUUCAUGAGCAUCAUUCAUGUCAACAUUCAUGAGCAUCAUUCAUGUCAACAUUCAUGAGCAUCACUCAUGACAACAUCCAUGAGCAUCACUCAUGUCAAUCAACAUAAACAUUCAUGAGCAUCACUCAUGUCAAUCAGCUUCAAAAGCGUCAUUUACAGAGCUCUAGCUUCAAAGCUUCACUUGCAACACUCACCUACAAAGCUUCAGUGCAGGGUAUAUAAAUACCGCAUCCGAACAACCGCCACUUCGGCCCAUACAUGGAUUCAAUUUGAAGUCUCCAGCCAACAUACUCUAUUGAUCGAAGACUUGGGGGACUACAUUAUGUACCAUAUAUUGGGCCUCAACUGGGCCUCAUGAAAAAUACAAAAUACUUGGGGGACUUAGCACAUUACUUAUGUAAUGAGGAGUGAGCCCUUAUUCUAUAAAAGGGACUCUCUCACCAUCAUUAGAGAGCAAUGCCACCAGCUGAGCAACCGCCUCGUCGCGAGCAUAACUCAUAACCCAUCAUUUAUGUAUUGAGGAGCGAGCCCUUAUUCUAUAAAAGGGACUCCCUCAACAUCAUUAGAGAGCAUUAACUCUAGCCCAUCAUUCAUGUAUUGAGGAGCGAGCCCUUAUUCUAUAAAAGGGAUUCCUUCACUUUCAUUAGAGAGAGCACCACCCACUAUUUAUUAUUGAGGAGCGAGCCUUUGUUUUAUAAAAGGGACUCCCUCACCUUCAGCGCCGCCAGCCGAGCAACCGCCUCGCCACAAGCAUCACCUUUAGUACCACACAUUGGGCCUCUGCAUUUGGGGGACUUAGCCCAUUAUUCAUGUAUUGAGGGGAGAACCUUUAUCCUAUAAAAUGGACUCAUUCACCUUCACCGCCGCCAGCCGAGCAACCGCCUCGCCACAAGCAUCACUUCUAGUACCAUACAUUGGGCCUCUGCAUUUAGGCCUCAUGAAAGCAUUUGGGGGACUUAGCCCAUUAUUCAUGUAUUGAGGAGAGAACCCUUCUUCUAUAAAAGGGACUCCCUCACCUUCAUUAGAAAGCAUCGCCGCUUACUGAGCAACCACCUUACCGCGAGCAUCACCUCUAGCCCAUUAUUCAUGUAUUCAGGAGCGAGCCCUUAUUCUAUAAAAGGGACUCCCUCACCUCUAACCGAACAGCCUCACCUCCAUCACUUCAUGUUGAGCAUCACCACAUGUCAAGUACCAGUUCUAGACAACUUCUAGUUACUUUGGCCCACACAUGGACUGGAUUUCAAGUCUCCAGCCAAAAGACUCUCUUAACUGAAGACUUGGGGGACUACUGUUUAUACCAUAUUUAAGGCCUCCGUAUUUAGACCUCGUAUAAAUACUCGGGGGACUCAAAUGUAAUUAUGCAAUAAAUGAAGAGGCAAAUAUGUAAUAAGUGAGGAGCCCUUAUUCUAUAAAAGGGACUCCUCACUCUCUUCACAGGGAUAGCCAAUUUGAGGCGAAGGUUGAGGCUAGAGAGAGAUCCAUCAAAAUAGGCCUUUGGCCUCCAGAAAUAUAUUAACAUCAGUGUGGACGUAGCCCAAACAUUGGGAUGAACCACGAUACAUCUUGUGUUAUUUACUUUCUUGUAGAUUCACGGUCGGAUUUUUGUUGUACCAAAGUCCUCACUGAUUUUGUGCAUCAACAAAUGGUAUUGCCAAAAUUCUUUCUUAUUUUGUUCCUUUUGUAAUUAGGGUUGUAAGAUUUUCAUAUGUAUGUAAAUAUAUCGUAUAUACAUUUAUAACUUUCUAUAUGUUUUAUACGGUUUUAAAACCCGCAGCAUUGCGCAGAGACACUUUUGCUAGUAAAGGAGCUAAAUCUAGAGUGGACUGUGAGUUAGUAACCAUUCUGCACACUUAGUUUGGCCUCUUGCCCACCCUUGUUUUUCUCUUAUUAAUUAUUACCCAUUGAACUGCCAAAUCAACGAAGAAUCAACGGUCAAAAUUAAAAGGAGUAUACGGAACAUAAAAAAUUCCUAAUUAGAGGGUAUUUGGAAAAUAGCUCCUGUGGUAAAAAAAAUAUAAAAAAAAAAUUUAAAUCCCUUGUAGUGAAGUCCGUUAGGAUUUAAACCUAAAAAACAAAUUUCCGUUAUCUUUGUGUUAACCCCAAAAUCAAAACUUCAUAUUUCUGUGAAUUUAUGCACUCCCUUCGUUGUGGCUCAAUAUAAAUGCUUCAAUGAUUAAUCCAAUCAAGUAAAAAUGUAAUUCUAUAUUGAUCCCUUGUGUUUUCUUUAUUCCUAAAUUGUUUUCGUGCAUGUUUGGGAGAGGAAGUAGGCUCUGCAUCUGUUUGUAAGGCCCUCCUUCUCUCUAUGAUCUCCUCAUUUCUGUUUCUUUCCCAUAAUGUGAGAUGACAUUGAAGAACCAGUACGGCCCUCCUUCCCGGAAAAAUAGGCGCAAUGAUUACUUGAUUGAAUUUGAAGAUUCUUUCAACCAUGAGUGAAUUUCCAGUGAGCCACAAACAGGAGAAGGAACACCAGUGAAGGAGGUACACGAUGAAGAUGCACGACAGUAACAACUGAUGAAGGGGAACAAAACCUAACGGCACAUAAUGACUUAAAUAUAGCGAAAUGCGGGAAAAACCAGUGAAGGAGUAACACAAUGAAGAUGCACGAAAGUAACAACUGAUGAAGGGGAACAAAACCGAACGGCACAUAAUGACUUAAAUAUAGCGAAAUGCGGGAAAAUGCAUGAAACCCAAAUGUAGAGAUUCAGGAUCCUAACCCCUUAAAAAAAAGGGAAGCUUAACAGAGAAACUAAUGAAAAUUUUGAUUUUGGGCUUAAUUCCUAACGAAGUUCACCACAAAGGUUUAAAUCUGAAUUUUUUUACCACAUGACUAUCUUCUGAAUAUCCUAUCAUGAGGAACAUUUAUCCAAUUAGGCCUAAAAAAAUGUGCAUACAUCAGUUCUCGUGUUACAAACCCGUGUUUCUCUUUUCAAAUGCCAAUUUUAUUCAAUCAACGGGCACUUACAACACUUCAAAGUUUCAAACUUAUUUCCCUGAUGGACAAACUGAUAUCGUUUAUGGCAUUCGUGUCUCUCGUUUCUCUUCCCUCCUAUGUUCAAUAAACCGACAUCUCCUACUUCUAGCAUAGCAGCAUACUGUCGUGAAGUGACCCCUUUAUCCAUUGCCUCGCGUGUGGCGUAUCUUGAGCGUUGAGCCUAAAGAAAAUUCAUUCUACUUGGUAUUUUGAUCCCUGCCCGCUUCAGAAUUUCUGCGGAAGCUUGCUUUGCCUUUGCAAGAACUUCUUCCUGUCCAUUUAUAAUUGGCACCCGUAAGUAAACAAUGAAAUUUUAGGGCCUGGCUAUCCGCCCAUUAGUCUUCAUUUGUAUGUCUAACAAGCGAAAAGUAUGACAGAAUACCUCAUCCACGUUCAAAAUCUUCUUAUCCUUCAUAAUCCACAGACCAUUGCACAUUACAGAGACUACAUUUUCGGUUCGCAUACUGUACACAAGGCUGGAAAUGCUGCAUAUGUAGCAAAAGGAAAAGAUUAAUCUACCUGAAUAAAUGGCUAUGUUGCAGACAAACAAAACGAUUUUUUUAUACAGAUUAGAUUGGAACCAGAUCCGCUGAAAAGCCAAAAAACUGCCUUAGAAAAUCAUGGUUCCAACUUUAAGGGUAUUUGAUUGAAAUAAAAUUACUGCAUAUGAUUCCUUCGGGGAUGGUUCUUACCUGUCAUGGAGAGGAACCAUGGUCCAAGAGGAAGGAUUGAUAACAACCAAGUCAGCCUGCCAAAUCAUGGAAGAAGGAAGCUAAUCAGCCUCGUGUUUAAAAUUCGUUGAGAUAUGCACAAAUGUGUAUGGUAUGGCUUUACUUAAAGAGAAAGCUGUAUAAGAGAUGAAGCAGAAGGACAAGAGAAACUAAUUGGAGCUAGCCAAAAGUCCAACCUUUUUGCCGACCUCAAGGGAUCCUAUUUCAUUAUCCCAAAGUACUGAUUUUGCACCAUUUAUAGUCACCAACUCAAGAACUGUUUCAGCAGGAAGAGCAGUAGGAUCAGUAGUUCCAUUUGUAUGAACUUCCCGUCCUUUGUUAAUCAGAGAAGCCAGGUACAUCUCAUCAACUGCAAGGAAGUAAACUGUACAUGAAUUUCGAGGUCCAACCAUCAAUGUUUCAAUGUGCAAACCCCCAAAUAAGGAAAAAAUGCAAGAGUGGGCGAUCAGAAUUUCCACCUAUGCUCAUUCUGUUAUUCGAGGGUGCCCCAUCUGUUCCCAAAGAGACACAGAUGCCAGCAUCCAGCAUCUCUCUAAUAGGUGCAAAUCCAAGCAUUCGCAUCGCAGCGGCAGGGCAAUGAGAUACUUUGACCCCGCCCCUUGAAAGACAAUCAAUCUGAAAAUACAGAAUAACGGCUUCGUACCAGCUAACAAGUUUUUAACCACCAAAGUUAUUGAUGAACAAGUAAUACAAUAACAUACAUAACACUCCAGAGGCUAAAAAGCUCAUGAUAUCUUACUAGUAAACACAUACAGCUGCAUCUACUCCUAUUCUGUAUAUAAAAUAGCACGAGCAAGAAAAACCGCAACUCACCUGAGAAGGAUUAACCCAAACUGUGUGGGCAGCUAGCAAAUUGUUCUGGAGGAACUGUAUAUUCUCCAAGUGUGUUAUCGUUCCAUGGUCAACUUUUCGCGUCUCUGUCACAAAUUGAUUCUCGUAUGCUAUCUCUGCAACAUGCUAAACAAUUGAAAACUUGAGCUAAGUCUAUGUAAAACUUCAAAAUCUCUUUGAACAAGUCCAAAAUGCUGGUAGAGUUAGUUGAGUAUUAUACCAUGUGGAUUCCAGUUUUCAGUUCCUUGGCAGUGUCCCUUGUUGCAAGCAGCAAAUCAUCAGUUGCAUUCAUAAUCUGCCUAAUUCCUAGCCACACUCUGAUGCGCCCGUCUCCGGUGUUAUGGUGCUUCUUGUAAAGCUCUUUCUGAGACUGUCCUUAAAUGUGUGCGAGCAGUGAGUGAGUGAGGACAUUAACUUAACAAAACCAACAAAAAAGCAUAAAAGAGCUUAGAAAUCAAGUUACCUGGAUGCAAUCACCGGCGCUCCGACCUGCCCAAGACUUGGGCAGGCCGUCACCUGAGUCCAUGGUGGACUCAGCCAAACACGCCCUUAACCCCAGCAACUCCACCGCCCUCGCCAUUCCCGACACAUGUUGCCCUCCUGCUUCAGCAAAGCAAGUUACCUGUACAAACAAAAAACCAAUUCCGCAGACGUGGAUUAGACCAGUUGCUCGCCCAAGUUCAAAUCCUCCUCGUUUAUAAAUUAAAAUAAUUUAGAAUAUCGUCUUGUUAGAAAGAAAAAACUUACACCAGAGUGAAUGAGCUCUAUGCCACAAAGCAAGGUGGAAAUGUACGAAUCUUCCUCGCUCAUGUUGGACUCGUAGGGCCAAAUCCGAUCGUGCAGCCACGUCAUCAAAUCCACGUCAUCUGCAAUCCCUCUUCCCAGUUGCUGCGAGGUGUGCACGUGCGUAUUGAUCAGUCCUAUUAUUUUCAACAUUUCCAAUUAUUUCCUUCGAAUUUCGCUUUUCAAAAAAUUGGAAUUAAACAAAUAAGCAGAGAAAUCGGGAAUCGGAGAGCGAAGCAGCUGACCAGGGAGGACGAUUUGGCCGUUGAGAUCGACAACCCGGUGGGCGAGGGCGGAGAACUGGCGGAGUAUAUCGGAAGACUGACCGACGGCUCUGAUCGCGUCUCGCUCGAUGACGAUCCCGCCGUUGCGGAAGACGCGGCUGUCGGAAUCCAUGGUGACGAUGGUAGCGUUGUGAAGUAUAGUCACUGCUGAGGCGAAGUUGGUCGGAGACGCCAUCGUUUUCUCAAUCUUCUCCGCCGUCGCUUUUGAAUUCGUUGAAUCUGAACGUCUGCAACUUCGGAAAGGAAUUGGAUAAAGAUAAAAAUUUUAUUCCUCAAUAAACACGUUCUCGAAUCGAUUUAUUUAUUAAUGAAUUGGAUGUCAGCCGUUAGCUUGUUGCUGGCAGCUGGCUGGCGGGGUUUUCAGUUGGAUGCUGUCACUGUUACGGUUAGAGAGUUUGUUCGUUUGUUCCUUUUUUUGUGUGGAUGAAAGCUAAAAUUCAUUACCAACACUUACAAACAUAAACACAACAAAAACAAACAAAAGAUGGGCCUCCAAGACAACAACCAAACAACCCAACCCGAGGGUCGAGCCCGAAAAGGAAAAGCACAUAAACUAUAAAAACUAAACGCUAGCCUUCUAAUACCCUCGUCACGGCCAAUGUACGCCAUGGUGACCACAAGCCAGCUUCCCAACCAACACCAGAGGUGAAACCCAACCAAGCCCCAACAAAAAGAGAAGGCACCGUCUUUAAUCAAGCUCCACAAAGAAUCAAUCUGCAGCCACCAAUGGUAGAAAACCUGGGAGGAAGUCAGUGGAUCCAUUGACAACAGUGUUGAGACCGACACACAGGUGGAAGGUGGUGGUGCGAACACCCGAGCAGAAGCUCUACGUACCUUCCGAUAAAGCUGUUGAAAACGGCGGAACAAGGUGGAAGCAGAUCGGUUCAAAAGUGAAAUUGAGAGAGGCCGAACCCAAGUGGGAGAGAAAGAAGAAGAAAAGGGUGAACGCAUGUAAGGGGAAAGGCAGUGGGGGAAAGAAGAGAAGGGAGAUAGGAAAAAGAAAUUUUCCGAUCGGAGCAAGGAAGGGUUAAAAUGGAAGAACAAGGGCUAGGAAACUGAGGGGAAAACCAGGAAAAGCAAACGGAAAAGAAGAAGAAAAUGGGUUGCCACCGACCUUCACCACGUCAGCACCACCUUUUAGUGAUAUUUUAUUGAGAGUUUUAACGAAAAGUAGUGUACUGUUCACUUUAACGAAAAAUCAUAUUUUUAUAUUAAAAAGUCAAACCUAAUACUAUUCAAUUUACCUUUUAUUUUGUCCUUAUUGUUAAAACUCAAAGUUUUCAAACUAUUUUCAUUAAUUUCCCUCAUUUUAUUUGUAAGUCCAUGAUAUUGGGUUUGAUUUUUAUAAUAAAGUUUCAAUGUCGUUUAAUUAUUAUACCAGCUUAACCAUCACAGGGUGGUCAAUGGUGGUAUAAAUUUCAGGUCCGUAUUCUACCGUCAUGUUUUGGGUUUGAUUUUAAGUGUUGGUGAACCACACGAUGGUGGUCAAUGAGAGGUUAAGGCCUAAAAAAUAUGCAAAAAAAAAAUAUAUAUAUAUAUAUAUUGUACUAGCCUCUUGCCGCACGCAUACGCGUUUAGCAAUUAGCCUUUCUAUAUUAGAGCAUGUCUUUUAAUUUUUUUUAUUUAAAUUACUAAUUUAUAUUUUUAUUCAAAAGAAAAAAAAUGAAAUGAAGCAAAAACAUAAAGUCACCCAUGUGAGAGUUUUUAAUUUUUUUCAUAAAGUUUUAACAUUAAAAUGUGGUGAAUUACUUUAUCUCUUUUUGGUUCAAUUGUAAUUUUCUUUUAAUUUUCAAAGGACAAUAUAUGGUAUUUUGAAUGUCUCACCAUUUAGGAUGCUUCCUUUAUUUAUAUAGAUAAGUUGAUAACAUACCUCAACUCUUCAUAUGUCGUUCAAAACAAAAUCAUCAUUUUUUCUUCCAAGAAACUAGGGAGACCACAUAAUUAUCAUAUAGUAUACAAUCUCAUGUCGCAAGUGAUUUAUACCAACAUUUAAUGAGAGAAAUUCAUAAUUAGCGUGACAUGUACACAUCACUUACUAUUAGUGCACAAAAUUUGCAUGUCAAACCCAAAUGAGUCCAUGUGGACACUAACAGACUUUAAACCCAACAAUCGAAAAAUAUAACCCUUGAUGGGCUUUUGGAUAUGUACUGGAUUAAAAUGAACAAAAAUAUAAAUGGUUCACUUCACAAAACCUGGGUUACAUUUACUGUGUUGCUUGAAUUCUGUUGAUUAGAAGACUAAAAAUAACGGUAAGCUAAUACAUCAAUUUCACUCUCUCAAAUUGUUCGACCCCGAUUUUGGGGGUUCUCACUCCUUUAUAUAGGCCUCUAGUAAACCCCAUUUAUUGGGUCUUUCCCAGUGAGCAUUUAUGUGCCACUCCACAUGGAUUACCUGGCUGACACCUUUGUACUUGUCAACCCGACAUUCGGCGAUGAAGUGACUGGUGUCCAGUCAAAUACAUGUCGGCCUAAAAUAAAGUAGCCUAUUUCCCCCGAUCGGUCUUGGUUACUUAACCCAAUCUCCCCGAAUGUCGUUCUGACCCACUUCGUGUCCCAUCCUGGGUCUUCAUUGUUGUUUACAAGUCGCCAUGUGGCUUGAAUGUCAUCUUAGUGGACAUUUCUCUUGAAACCCGUAUCGUAAAGAUGUCAGUCUACCCACGUGCUCAAGUUGGCAGCCACUCAACGUUCAGCCUAAUCAGUCAGUGUUCAUCGUGUGCGUUUUUACAAGUUUCCUAGCCCUUGAGCUUCUAAGUCUUUUAGGUUUCUUUUUAGGGCUUUUUCCCAAUCUGGUACUUAUCUUAGGGCCUAAAAGUGGUUAGUGUUAAUACUUACCACAUUAGAUAUUGUACACCAAUAUAGUUCAAAAGUGUGGUCUCCCUCACAUUUUAUAUUUUGUUAACGACGUUUUAUCAUUUCCCCCCUUGAUAAUGAUCUUAUCUUCUUCCUUUUUUUUUAAACUCAAAGUGAUACUAUUUUGUUACAUCAAACAUAGUUCGGUACAAUUGGAAACUAGUAGACUCGCCACCUCCUCGUCAAACCACAAAUUACAAUAUUCGAAUUAUAUCAGAAAUAAAAGCAAGAGGCUUUUCAAAUCGUGUUUUAAAGUACAAAUCGAGCAAGGAGAUAUGAAACAUUGUUGGUGUGUCGAUGCACGCGGGUAAAGCCAUCUCCGAUGAUUUAAAGUAACACUACAUUCCCGUCCUCAAUAAUAUGUCCGUAGAAGGACAAAUACGAGUCCGAACUAUACAACGCAGAAACAAUGUAGAGAUAAUCACUUCAAAAAGAUAUAUUAGAAAACUCCAAAGUCACCAUUUAAAUCACCACAUGCUUUACAUCUUGUAACAUAGUAUCUAAGAGCAAGUCCACCCCACACAAUUUAGCCCAGCACCCAGUCCAAAAAGCAGUCCAGCACCCUAUCAAUUUGCUCCAGCCCGCAAAACAGCUUGGCACCCAACCCAAGCCAGGCAACAGACCAACCCAUUUCGGACAAACUCAGAGGAUGGCCUAUUUGGCUGGCGUGUGCAGCACAGUCACGACUGGGCGCGAGUAGGAGACAAGGUGCAGGCGACGUGGCCCGCUUGUUAACCCACUUGUGUUCACCCGGAUUAAGGCUACGUGGCCCUCCUCAGUGCUGUUGGAUUUCCAACGGCUAGUUUUUGUAAACCGUUGGAUUUCCAACUUUAAAAAAAAAAAUUGACUUUUAAAAUGGAUCGUCGGAUCACAGAUCAACGUUUCAUGUUUUUUUUCACAAAAAAAAUUAAAAAAAAGGCCUAACGGUCAGAAAUAUGACUGUUGGCCACGUGGCAACUCCUUGGCUCUUGGAUUUGAAUAUUUUUCAAAUUCAAAAUUAAUUAACUAUAUUAAAAUUUAUUAAAAAUUAUAAAAAAAAUACAGAAAAAUUAUUAAAAAAUACAGAAAAUUAAAAAAAAAAAACAUAAAAUUUUUUAAAAUGUUAUUUUUUUCUUUCUAUAAAUACCUAACCUUCAUCUUCCACCUUACACCACAUUUCAAAAUUUUCUACACUUUCUAUACUAUCUACAUUUCAAUAUUUUCUACACUUUAAGAGAAAAAAAAUGUCUUUGUGGAAGCUUAUUGAAGAUGUUACAUUGUGGAUGUUGGGUUUACACUACUCAUGACCCGAUUACGGGUAAUGAGAUGGAUAAGCGAGAAAUGUGGAGUAAAAUUACGAAAGCGUUUUGCGAUGUACAUGGAAAAGACGCCAUAACUAGUCAAGGUCUUCUUCAAGGUCAUUGGAAAAAUCUCAACGCAUCCUUUACUUGUUGGAAAAACGCCAUCUCUCAUGCUUCUGGUAACCUCCGUAGUGGGACAAGUUUAGCUGAUCAGGUGACAAUAUUUUUAUUUAUUUAUACGCAUUCCACCCACAUCAAUAUUUUAAUUUAUUUAAUUUCGUAUGUAAUUUUUAUGUUAUUUCUUAUGUAAUUUUUAUAUGCAUUCCACCCGCAUCAAAAUUUUAAUUUAUUUAAUUUCUUAUGUAAUUUUUAUUUAAUUUCUUAUGUCAUUUUUAUGUAAUUUAUAUGCAUUCCACCCGCAUCAAUAUUUGAAUUUAUUUAUUUGUGUUACACCCGCAUUUUUUAACACUAUCUUAUCCCACAUUUUUAUAGACACUAAAAGCUCAAGCAUUCUUCAAUUCAAAGAACCAGAACAAAUCAUUCAACAAAUGGGAAUGUUGGGAAAUUGUCAAAGAUUGCCCUAAAUACAAAAUUGUGGCAACCGGUCUAGAAGUUGUCAUGCACGGCAUGGAUCUACAUAGUUCGCCAGAACCAGACAUGGCCGAACAAGAAGCUGACACAUUUCAAGACACGGAAGGGACGCCUGAACAAGUGCUCGAGACCCAACCGACUCGUUAGUCCCUCAGGACUCAAGGUAAAAAGGCAUUAAAGAAAAAAGGUAGUUCUUCCAAAAAUAACUACACUAAAUAUAUGGAGGAACUUGGUCGCCAAGGUGAACUGAACAUGGCACGGGAAAAGGCUAGAGAUGAGGAAAAAGUUGAUGCUAUGGCAUCAAUAAUAGCAGCAAUAAUAGCAGCUACUGAGGCUCGUGAUGCGGUGGCUGAGAGACAAAGAGAAAUAGUUAAUCGAGAGAACGAGCUGGUUAGACAAGCACACUUCAUCAAGAAAAUGAAAUGCUUAGAAAAGAAAGGAUGGUUCAAGCAGUUCAUGACACUAUGAGCAAGUCUCUAGUAGGACUGUCUCCGAAUUCAAAAUAUUUUUGGACAUCGGAAAAAAGAGAGGUUGUGCGAAGGAGGCGUGCAAGAGAUGCGGAAACAAGUCAAGGGGGUUCUAGCUAUACAAAUCAUAGCAACCAAGAUCUUAGUACCACAUAUCCUAGCUCCAGAGACUUUGUAUAAUUUUUAUGUAAUUUCUUAUUUUUUAGAAUUUUAUUUAAUUUCUUAUGUAAUUUUUAUGUUUUUUCUUUUUUUUUUCUUUUGAACUUUAUUUAAUUUCUUAUGUAAUUUUUAUGUUAUUUCUUAUUUAUUUUUUUAAACUUUAUUUAUUUUUAUUUAAUUUAUUAUGCAAUUUUAAUGUAAUUAUUUAUUUAUUUUUGUACUUUGUUUAAACACAUGAAAUAAGAUUACAUAAACUCACCAAAUAAAAUUAAAAACAAAACACACUACAUAGAAUUACAUAAACUAAAAAAAAAAAACACUUUAUUCUUCAACCACAAGCCUCAUUUUAAUUAUCCUUGCCUUCAAGCAAUCCCCACUGGUGCUCAAUCAAGUCAUUCUGGCAGGUUAAGUGCCAGUAUGGCUCUUGCACAUCAGUGUACCGCUGAACGAUCAAUUCAUUGUAACGUCCAUCGCGUUCCAACGGCUCGUGUUGCACGGGAUCUUCGGUCCGGUCAUGAGCACAAUAGAUACGUGUUCUUGAGUUGUUCAUCAGAUCCGGCUCAUAUUCAUCAACGACAUCAUAAUCAUACUCAUCUUCAACAAUCAUAUUGUGGAGAAUAAUACACGUCAUCAUGAUGGAUCGAAGAGCCUUAACAUCAAACAUUCUAGCUGCAGCACUGACAAUCGCCCAAUGAGCUUGCAGGAUACCAAAACAACGCUCAACAUCCUUCCUACACCCUUCUUGACAUUUUGCGAAGUGUUUUUCCUUUUUAGUCUGUGGAUGUGGCACUGUUUUGACAAAUGUUGACCACCUUGGGUAAAUGCCAUCUGCAAGGUAGUAUUAUCCCUCGUAUUGGGUACCAUUAACCCAAUAUGUGCAUUUUGACGAUUUUCCUUGCAGCAGUUCAUCGAAUAUUGAGGAUUGGGCAAGGACAUUUAAGUCAUUCUGAGCUCCUGGAACACCAAAAAAAGCAUGCCAAAUCCAUGUAUCAAAUGAAGCCACUGCUUCCAAAAUGAUGCUUUUGGCUUAUUUUCUGUCGCCAUAAGCUCAUUACCACGCACUUGGACAUGUGUUCCAAGUCCAGUGCAUGCAGUUGAUACUUCCAAUCAUGCCAGGGAAGCCUCGCAUCUCACCCUUCCUCAGAAGCCUUCGCAUGUCCCUUGGCGUGGAUGUUCGAGGUACUCAUUGGUGUAGAGGGCUUCAAUUGCAAAGCAAAACCGCAUCAGGGACUCCAGAACAGUUGUUCUUCCCAUCCUCGCGAUCUCAUCCACUUGAUUUGCAGAUGCUCCAUAUGUAAGCAUUCGCAAAGACGCUGUAAUUUUUUGCUCGGGAAUAAGACAUAGAACAUGAAAAACAUCAUCUUUUUGCACAAAGUAUGGAUCAUGGUUGCAAAUAGCACUCAUGAUUUUGUCGAACAAAUUUCGUUGCAUUCUAAAACGACGUUUAAAAACAUGAUCAGGGAAUAUGCUGUUGGGAAUAAAAUAAUCUUCCAAGAGAUCUUUACCUCGUAUUUCCCUUUUUCUAUCGAGGUUUGCAGCACGUCUUGGUUUGGCUAUCUGACUCACGGCUUCCAUGACACGGCAGGAAUGUGAGGCUUUUUGCCUUCUAUGGUGAUCAUCCUCAUCCUCCUCCAUGAAGAAAGCCUCAUCUCCACCUCCACCUUCCUCGAGAUUGGCCAAUUCUGCAUGUUGUGCCAGCAACCUUUUUUGUUGCUCCUGUAAUUGUUUAUACACUUUUCUUGAAGAGGACAUUGUAAUAAGAACUUAAGAUUUGAAAACAAUGAACAAGGAUUCUAAGCUAAAAAUAAGGAUUGAGCUUGGUGUGAGGAUGGAUGUAGGGAUGUAGGGUUUAUAUGGACAAAAAAAGAAAGGAUGAGGUUUUGGACAAUGCCACGUGGCAAUACGUGAUUGGUUGAAAAUCUUAUCUAAAUCUUGGCUAAAUUAUUGUAAACCGGAAGUGACACGUGGCGCGUCGGGAUUGGUCGAAAAUAUUAUCGGAAAUCUAUUCACAAAAUAGUAUGUUUAGAUAAUGACACGUGGCAUGAUUGGUUGAAAAUCUUAUCGAAAUCUUGGCUAAAUUAUUGUAAAACAGAAGUGAUACGUGGCGCAUCGGGAUUGGUUGAAAAUCUUAGCGGAAAUCUAUUAAAAAAAUAGUACGUUCGGAUAAUGACACGUGGCGUGACGAGAUUUGUUAAAAAUCCUAUCCGAAAUUAAAACUAUUUUAUUUUUUUAUUUUUUUAGAAAAAAUUUAAAAAUAUUUUAAAUGGGCUGGGUGCCAGCGCUUUUUGUAGGGGUGGAGAUUGUUUGUGCUAGCACAUUUUUUUAGGGGUGGAGAUGCAUUGGCCUAUUACUUUUCAUUGGAGUCUGUUACUAUUCACUGGAGUGGAUAAAUGGGCUGGGUGCUGACACAAAAUCCUUAGGGGUGGACUUGCUCUAAGAAAGACCCAUUUUCAUCUUGCUUGCAAAGCUGUUAAAACGAGAUUUUGAGCUGAGUUACAUAAUGUGUUAGUCAUAAUUCGACAUCAAACUCGUUAUUUAUAUUUAUGAUAUUCCAUUUACAAUUUGCAAGCGAAAAUAAAUGAGAAAUGGUUUUCAGACACAUUUUAUCUUCUCUUACACAAAACUUUUUAUGUAUUCAAUCUAAAAACAAAAGGUAAUCAAAUAUGCGUAAAGACAGAAAUAAAGUGUGAGCAAAAUGGCACCCCAAAUAAAUGUAGAUAGCGCUAAAAAGACUAAAGUACCUUUAUCCUAAGUCAAUGUUGUUUGGGUUAGUGUAGUGGGAUGAAGGACCUAAUCCUAAGAGGCCCAUACAAGGUAAAAAUAACCAGUCUUUAGAUGACCAAUAGAGGUGGCUUCACAGCAAAAUCUGCAUUCCGAAAAAUAUGAGAGAAGCUUGAAAAGAAUUCCACUCCGGCCUUGGCCUCGAAUGUAGUCAAUAACGAGCAUUCAAACUUUGCAUGGAAGUAGUCAAUUUCUCAUAUCUUUCGACUCCAAUAGCUCUGAAAAAGAAAAAAAAAAAAAAAAAACUUGGAUGCAUAUCAAUAUCAAUUUAGUUGACAGAUGUAACACUCCCUGUCCCGUAGGGCUUAAAAAUUCAAAAUGUCAAUGCUCUGCAAGCUAAAGAAUAUAUUUAAAAAAAAAAAAACUAGUUGUCUAUUUUUUUGGUUUGAAAAAUUAGUAAAUUAAUUCAAAUGUAUUUGUUAUAUGAAUUUUGACGGAAAAACAAAAGCAUGAUUGAAGUCUAGUUGUAUUAAAAACCCGAGUUUAUAACAAUUCCAUUGACUGACGAACUCCAAAUGAAUAUUAUACGAAAACCAAAUUAACAAAAUGAGGACGAAAUUAAAAACUCCAAUGUCAACUUUGAUGAAAAUGGCAUGCGUGGUGGCAGUGGCCUAAUGGCUAAUGUCAACUGUGAAAGGUCCAUAUAUUGCUAAAUUAACUUACCAGCUAUUAUUGCUGAUUAAGAAUUCAUAAGACAGGCUUUUAUCCAACUAAAUUAAAAUCAAGCGUAUAAUUCAUAUUAAACAAGGACUUAAAGCUUGUUAAUUUAUAAGAAAAACUUCAAAUUAAACAUUUGUAGUAUUCAUUUAGCGAAGAGUUACAUCAAAAAAAAAAAAAAAAAAACAGAGACAACAAAGGAAGAUUUUAACUCAAAUACCGAAGAGAAGAGACACUACUUUAGCCGACUUGCAUCAAAGUGUAAGUCUACAAUGAAGUUAUGCAUACUUCAUUUGUAUCCUCUCGUGCAUUCAUCAUUCGUUUCACCAACCCAAAACAAACUACAAAAAACUAACAAGGAUAGUGUGCAGUCAAGAAAAGCGGCAGCUACUUCCUAUCCAGUAUAGUCCCGGCAGCUGCUUCGCAAACUAAUAAACAUAGUUUAAUAUUUCGACCAUACAAAUAGUAUUUCAAUGAAGGAAAAAAACAAAACAAAAACGGUUUAGUAUUAAGUACAUUAGAUAUGCUGUUUUGUUACUAAAUUACGUGAUCAAAUGUGCUUAGGUAUAGUCUCAUGACUAUCAGCCAAAGAAGAUAAUGAAAUGUUACUCUCAGCCAGGCCACCCAUAUAUCUACCGACCUUAAACCGCUAUAACGGUCUACUUUGGUGGCUAAUCAAAUUUAAAAACAGCCUUUUGUUUUCGGAUUACAUAGUUGAAAUGAAUUAAUCAUUUGGACUGUAACGAGGAGUGAAAGUAACGUACGUAGGGUUAAGCCCUCACCAUCCCAGCUAGGUCCCCUCAAUUCUUUAUUCUUAUCUUACCCUUUCCCAACAUACGUACAUAUAUAUAUAUAUAUAUAUAUAUAUAUAUAUAUCCCUAGGUCCCCUCAAUUCUUUAUUCUUAUCUGACCCUUUCCAAUCAUACAUAUAUAUAUCCCAGCUAGGUCCCCUCAAUUCUUUAUUCUUAUCUUACCCUUUCCAAUCAUACAUAUAUAUAGACACACGAAGUAAGAUGACAUGAAUUCUUAUGCAUAUUCGCCCCUUGAUUUUUUUUUUUUUGGGGUCAAUUUUCGCCCCUUAAUUUGUUUGCAAGUUGCUACCAACAUUAUCAAGAAAUAUUGAAAUUUAUAUCGUAUUCUUACUAAAAUAUAAAUUCUAACCCUAUUUUACAAGAUAUAUUACGCACCUGUAAACAUGAUGCAUGGUUUGUACUUCUAGUGAUCAUUGCAAAUAAUAAUUUGUAAGAUUAGUUGUUUGUAGAUUUUAGCCUGCCAAAGAGAGUACAUGCUGAUUAAAAGCUAAGAGCAACUAAUUAAGCAGGUGACUGAGAAGAGAUUUAAUUAAUAGAUAUUCAAAAUACAAAACAUAACAAAAUAUUUAUAUAUUACAAAGAUAGCUUGAAUUUCUUUCAUCUCCUUAUUCUCUCCGAUCCUAAUAUUUAACAAUUAAAGUUAUUGACAUAUUGCAAGACUCAAGAAAUCUUAAAUCCCACAAAUUAUGCAUCAAACCCAUAUAUUUUAUCAUCAACCAAGCAAGCUAUCAGUUUUGUAAAGUGCUAAAUAUGCAUUAUAACUAGAACUGGUUGAUGGCAACCAUCCUAGACGGGGUAAGAAGAUGGUAAGAGCCAUAACGCUUAGCCAAGCCACACCCUUGAGGAACCUUUUGGUCACCACAAUCAUCCAUUUCCAUCAAAACCUUGUAGAAUAUCUCAACAUCACAAGGAAGCACAAGGGGACCUCGACUGUCAUACCCAAAUUCAGACUCGGCUUCUUCGAGUAGCAUCUUGAAG
RNAcentral lists this long non-coding RNA (25163 nucleotides) under Malus domestica (apple). RNAcentral describes it as "long non-coding RNA (MDOM_LNC016141)". The record is from RNAcentral. Lineage: Eukaryota; Viridiplantae; Streptophyta; Magnoliopsida; Rosales; Rosaceae.